GUGCUCUAUGGUCUCAUUAAGUUUGCCUCAUGGACUUUUACCAGCUCAGGAUCCGAUGAAGCUGCUAAAUCAGACAAGGAUAAGUGAAAGAUGACAAAGGAGCAGCAGAAGUUUGUCAUUCAAUCAUAAGGUGUCUCAUAUUUCUAAAGGGGUUUCAUGUGCAGCUGUCCAGAUCUUUGUCUUCUUUAUGAUACAUUUUGUUCUUUGUGUGGUGGCUGGAUUGGACUUCCAUUUUUACAGAGAAUUGUUUGACCACAAUAUCUUUUUUAUGUCCUUAUGUUGAUACAUGACAUGAUAAAACAUGAAAAUUCAGAGAAAUUGUAAAAAAUGUUUUAAUUUAAACUAUGAACGGAGGCUGUGCUGUUUGA
Long non-coding RNA from Oryzias melastigma (Indian medaka), 368 nucleotides. RefSeq lists it as uncharacterized. Lineage: Eukaryota; Metazoa; Chordata; Actinopteri; Beloniformes; Adrianichthyidae. The transcript is spliced from 3 exons. The record is from RefSeq and is a predicted model, not a curated record.